CGUAGGCGGCCUUCUAAGUCGAACGUGAAAUCCCCGGGCUCAACCCGGGAACUGCGUCCGAUACUGGAAGGCUUGAAUCCGGGAGAGGGAUGCGGAAUUCCAGGUGUAGCGGUGAAAUGCGUAGAUAUCUGGAGGAACACCGGUGGCGAAGGCGGCAUCCUGGGACCGGCAUUGACGCUGAGGCGCGAAAGCCAGGGGAGCAAACG
RNAcentral lists this ribosomal RNA (206 nucleotides) under uncultured bacterium. Its description in RNAcentral is "partial 16S ribosomal RNA". It matches the Rfam family "Bacterial small subunit ribosomal RNA", at positions 570 to 774 of the family's 1533-position model. The record is from RNAcentral.